RNAcentral lists this small nuclear RNA (104 nucleotides) under Nannospalax galili (Upper Galilee mountains blind mole rat). The record is from RNAcentral. Lineage: Eukaryota; Metazoa; Chordata; Mammalia; Rodentia; Spalacidae.
GCGCCCUAUUCAGCAACAUAUAUGUUGAAAUUGGAGCAAUACAGAAAAGAGCAUGAUCUUUAUACAAAGAUGACAUGCAAAGUCAUGAAGCUGACCAUAUUUUU